AACGAACGCUGGCGGCGCGCUUAACACAUGCAAGUCGAACGCACACUUUCGGGUGUGAGUGGCGGACGGGUGAGUAACGCGUGGGAACCUGCCCUGAGGUUCGGGACAACCGUGGGAAACCGCGGCUAAUACCGGAUAUCUCCUACGGGAGAAAGACUUGUCGCCUUGGGAGGGGCCCGCGUCGGAUUAGCUUGUUGGUGGGGUAAUGGCCUACCAAGGCAUCGAUCCGUAGCUGGUCUGAGAGGAUGAUCAGCCACACUGGGACUGAGACACGGCCCAGACUCCUACGGGAGGCAGCAGUGGGGAAUCUUGGACAAUGGGGGCAACCCUGAUCCAGCGACGCCGCGUGGGUGACGAAGGCCUUCGGUUGUAAGACCUUUCUUCGGGGAAGAUGAUGACGGUACCCGACGGAAUAAGCACCGGCUAACU
This 429-nucleotide ribosomal RNA is filed under the name uncultured bacterium. RNAcentral describes it as "bacterial SSU rRNA". It matches the Rfam family "Bacterial small subunit ribosomal RNA", at positions 29 to 502 of the family's 1533-position model. The record is from RNAcentral.